This 253-nucleotide ribosomal RNA is filed under the name uncultured bacterium. RNAcentral describes it as "partial 16S ribosomal RNA". It matches the Rfam family "Bacterial small subunit ribosomal RNA", at positions 524 to 776 of the family's 1533-position model. The record is from RNAcentral.
UACGGAGGGUGCAAGCGUUAUCCGGAUUCACUGGGCUUAAAGGGUGCGUAGGUGGCCAGGUAAGUCAGUGGUGAAAUCUCUGGGCUUAACCCGGAAACUGCCGUUGAUACUAUCUGUCUUGAAUAUAGUGGAGGUGAGCGGAAUAUGUCAUGUAGCGGUGAAAUGCUUAGAUAUGACAUAGAACAUCGAUUGCGAAGGCAGCUCGCUACACUAUGAUUGACACUGAGGCACGAAAGCGUGGGGAUCAAACAGG